UGCCGCGUGUGUGAUGAAGGCCUUAGGAUCGUAAAGCACUUUCGCCAGGGAUGAUAAUGACAGUACCUGGUAAAGAAACCCCGGCUAACUCCGUGCCAGCAGCCGCGGUAAUACGGAGGGGGUUAGCGUUGUUCGGAAUUACUGGGCGUAAAGCGCACGUAGGCGGAUUGGAAAGUUGGGGGUGAAAUCCCGGGGCUCAACCCUGGAACUGCCUCCAAAACUAUCAGUCUAGAGUUCGAGAGAGGUGAGUGGAAUUCCAAGUGUAGAGGUGAAAUUCGUAGAUAUUUGGAGGAACACCAGUGGCGAAGGCGGCUCACUGGCUCGAUACUGACGCUGAGGUGCGAAAGUGUGGGGAGCAAACAGGAUUAGAUACCCUGGUAGUCCACACCGUAAACGAUGAAUGCCAGUCGUCGGGCAGUAUACUGUUCGGUGACACACCUAACGGAUUAAGCAUUCCGCCUGGGGAGUACGGUCGCAAGAUUAAAACUCAAAGGAAUUGACGGA
RNAcentral lists this ribosomal RNA (504 nucleotides) under Sulfitobacter dubius. Its description in RNAcentral is "bacterial SSU rRNA". It matches the Rfam family "Bacterial small subunit ribosomal RNA", at positions 395 to 917 of the family's 1533-position model. Lineage: Bacteria; Pseudomonadati; Pseudomonadota; Alphaproteobacteria; Rhodobacterales; Roseobacteraceae. The record is from RNAcentral.